UUCAGACCAAGAGAUAUAAUGAGUAAUUAACCUCUCAAAAAUCAAAGACGAGUAGAUAAGAAAUUUCAUACCAGUACAGGAAAAUUAAAAAUAAAUAGGAACAUACUAAUACAUACACGUCAUAUAGCACCGGGAGAAAUCCAAAUUUGUAAUGUUCUAAAUACAUAUUGAAAGUAAAGUAGAUUAUAUACCUUGUCUUAAGAUGUCUGCCAUCGUAGAUUUGAUCUUCUAUGGUAUUAAAUCAACAAAUUAUUUUUUGGAGAAGACACAUACACACACGGAGAGAGAGAGAGAGAGAGAUGAAAAUAUAGAAGAUUUUACUUGGGCAGGGGUUUGAUUGGGGGUAUGAAGUGCAUAUAAU
RNAcentral lists this long non-coding RNA (361 nucleotides) under Nicotiana tabacum (common tobacco). RNAcentral describes it as "long non-coding RNA (NTAB_LNC006843)". Lineage: Eukaryota; Viridiplantae; Streptophyta; Magnoliopsida; Solanales; Solanaceae. The record is from RNAcentral.